Molecule: long non-coding RNA, 1598 nt
Filed under: Chrysemys picta bellii (western painted turtle)
Lineage: Eukaryota; Metazoa; Chordata; Testudines; Emydidae
Description: lncRNA (ENSCPBG00000015416.1)
Source: RNAcentral
AUGCAUUCAACACAUGUGUUGUGUAUGCGAUUAGCAAUAGGAGUAAUUUACGCUCAGUUUUUCCUUUCAUCCAUUGGUGAAAGCUUCUAAGAUUUGUCAGCAGUCUGCAGCUAAUUUCUGUGUGUGGCUCAUCAACACCAUUAGAGGCUGGAAACACUGUGGAUGAACAAGCGAAAAAGUCUUGUCAAGAUCUUAUCUCAGGGGUAAUGAUUGGUUUAAAAUGAGAGAGGAAAAUAUAGUUAUUUUUUUUUUUUUUUUUAGUAGAAAUAGAAUAUUUGAUGUGAAGAACUCCCAGCUUGUUUUUGAGGAAAACAGAGCAAGGCUGUGAGCAAUUCAAGUCUGUGCAGGAGCAGGGGCUGUGUUUAAACAGCAGUUAUUCUGUUACUUGUCUGAGAAAUGUCAGCAGAUGGACUUUGAUUUCAAUGCUGUGAAUAUUUGCAGUGGCUUUGGAUGUUGGAAUAUAAGCAGUGAUCUUCUUUUCUCCUUCUUGUAUUUACCUGCUGAAAAAUGAGUGAGGAAGCAAAGGAAAAAAAUGCUAAACCAGCUCACAGGAAGAAGAAAGGAAAAAAGGUAAGUGAAUGUGGCACUGAACAUCCCUGUCGUCAUUAUUAUCACUUUCCCUAGCUCUUAUUGCCGAUGCCGAUUUAUGGAAUAAAGGCAAUAGGAAAAUACUGAUAUGCAGGUACUGUGGACACUAUUGGAAUAUAUAUUCUGAGAAAGAUGAGAGAGGUCCCAGAGCAUAUUGGUCUUCUGCUCCAAGAGGUCUCCUCCUACAAGAUACCACAGAGUUCUGUCUUGUCAUCAUUUAUUCAAGAUUAGAUGACUACAGUGCAUUCUGGAUCGAGCUACGUUUCAGGAUCUUUCAGUAGCACGCAUUGGUGCAUAUCACUAUGAUUCAUCACGACCAGCAAUGACGAUUUUAAACACAGUUUGCCCUGUCUACAAUAGAUGCAAAGCCCUGUUUAAAAUCAUGAUAGCAAAAUGAGUGCACUAACAUGUUUUAAAACUCUGGCUCUUUCCCUAGUCUAGACAUGGUGUCGUACUAAAUGGUGACUCACAUAGGGAGCAUCUUACAACAGGGCUUUAUAGCACUGGAUUUUGGUUAGUUUAUAGCUGGUGCUCAAGCUUCUGGCUUUGGCUAUAAAGUCCUGACUAAAUUCGGAGGUAGCUUCUUGAGAAAUUGUCUCAUUUUUCACAUUACCGCAAUCACAGCUGCAAUCAGUACUAUUCUAACCAGCAGCUGCUAGAAUAACAGGGAGGCAGGUGGUCAUAGAGCAUUUGCAUGAGUGUUCCUCCGCUCUAGAACUCACUACUUGUUCUGCCAGGCCCUGGGUUUUUUUUUCCUUCAGGACAAAUUACAAAGCUCAUCUGUUCUCUUGGGCGUUUGGUGAGGAGAUGACUUGAACGAUGUGGGUGUGGGUAUUAUUCUGGAUGAGUUUUAUUAAAUAGGCUGCCAUUUAGUAGCAGUUCAUUGUGGUUUUUUUAUUUGUAUACUUUUUGUAUAUUAUAAAAGCUCCUAGAGCCAUUGGGACUGGUGAUUUAAAGAAAUACUAAUACAUUGAAGUUUUCUUCGUCUAGCUUUACUCGGAUAGCCUUCA